This 69-nucleotide transfer RNA is filed under the name Podarcis lilfordi (Lilford's wall lizard). Its description in RNAcentral is "tRNA.Ala". It matches the Rfam family "tRNA". From Rfam's summary of the family: Transfer RNA (tRNA) molecules are approximately 80 nucleotides in length. Their secondary structure includes four short double-helical elements and three loops (D, anti-codon, and T loops). Further hydrogen bonds mediate the characteristic L-shaped molecular structure. tRNAs have two regions of fundamental functional importance: the anti-codon, which is responsible for specific mRNA codon recognition, and the 3' end, to which the tRNAs corresponding amino acid is attached (by aminoacyl-tRNA synthetases). tRNAs cope with the degeneracy of the genetic code in two manners: having more than one tRNA (with a specific anti-codon) for a particular amino acid; and 'wobble' base-pairing, i.e. permitting non-standard base-pairing at the 3rd anti-codon position. Lineage: Eukaryota; Metazoa; Chordata; Lepidosauria; Squamata; Lacertidae. The record is from RNAcentral.
GUCAUAGCUCAGUGGCAGAGCACCUGCUUUGCAAGCAGAAGGUCCCAGGUUCAAUCCCUGGUAUCUCCA